This 207-nucleotide unclassified non-coding RNA is filed under the name Hevea brasiliensis (rubber tree). Lineage: Eukaryota; Viridiplantae; Streptophyta; Magnoliopsida; Malpighiales; Euphorbiaceae. The record is from RNAcentral.
CUGCCUUGAUUCAUUUCUUUCAUUGUUAACCGUUAUGCCAACACGGAUUAUGAUAACUCUUUGGAGGCUUUUUAUUACCAGGAAGUUCGAAAGACCUUCUUCAGCAGAGUUAUCUGAUUUUGGCUGUUUUUUAAUAAUGGCAUGCGGAGUUGCUCUCUUAGAAUGGACAGAUAUCAGCUUAAUUUAUCACAUGAUUCGUGGUCAAGG